This 72-nucleotide transfer RNA is filed under the name Actinomycetota bacterium. RNAcentral's name for it is "tRNA-Gln". It matches the Rfam family "tRNA". From Rfam's summary of the family: Transfer RNA (tRNA) molecules are approximately 80 nucleotides in length. Their secondary structure includes four short double-helical elements and three loops (D, anti-codon, and T loops). The record is from RNAcentral. Lineage: Bacteria; Bacillati; Actinomycetota.
UCGGGGGUGGUGUAAACGGCAACACGACAGGUUCUGGCCCUGUUGUUGAGGGUUCGAGUCCUUCCCCCCGAG